GAAGGGACGGGCGGGGAGAAAAACCCCUUCUUUUAAAAAUUCUUGAUUUCCUUGACAUCGGCUUUCCUUUGGUGGGGGGGGGGGGUGGGUGGGGGGAUAGAUGGUGCGCGCGCGCGCGCUCGGGGAAUAAACACAUGUUAGAAGCCUCGGUAUUAUUUUCUGAGCUGAAAUCUGCAGCCUUUAGUAACUAGCAAAGUGUAGCGUCACCUACCUGGAUACGAGGGAAAUAAACUUAAAUGGCAACUUUGUGUACCGAAGUGUCCCUGGCUCCUUUUCUCUCCUUUUUGACUUUGUGCCACCAGCUCGUCUCUGCUCUUCCCACCCCCUGUCCCCCACGCGAGGCUUCCCCCGUUUUCCAUCGCGACCAUCGCAGACCCCGCCUCAUCGGAUCUAAAGUCAAGCUGUGCUUUGGGAAUGAGGGUGGCUGUUAAGCCAAGGGGGCCUCGCCAGGAUUAAGGUCGAGGCGGACUGGACGCAUCUGGAGAGGAGAAUCCUUGGCAUCUCAAAGGAGAAAAGGGGGCUGGUGCUGGGAUCUGGUGGGUCAUUAGCUCUUCUGCCCAAUCCACAUGCAUUUAGGGGCCUCCCCCUUCAAGGGGGAAAAGGAAACCGGUUCAGUGUGGAGUGAGGAGGCGGAAUGAUUUAAACAAGACAAACACCAGGAAAGUCUACGAGCAGAUGAAGCGCGCGGAGCAGGGGCGAGGGGGCCCGGGGGCCGGCGGCAGAUUCCCAAGCUCUGCCCGUCCGGGAUCGUGGAAACGCGGAGGAGGGAAGUGUGUGUGUGUGUGUGUGUGUGUGUGUGUAGUGCGCCAGGCAGCUGGCGAGUGUUUCCCAGUCUGCUACAGCAGUCGCACUCCGGGGGUGGCGGCUCCUCCUCCGGGGCUCGGGCCGGGAAGCCGGCCUUCCCCGUAACCCUCGCGCGGCCGCCCCCCGAGCCGCUCAGUUCGGUAUCUGCAGCAUCAGCGAGAAAAGCCCGGCGCGCAGGCUCAGUGCGCACCGCCGCAGUCUCCAGCCGGGGGCGGGGGCGGGAGCCGCAGCGCCAAGGCGGCCGGCUAAGUGGCAGGAACUCCGGAGCUCCCCUACGCGGUGCAGCAACACGGGUUUAUCCCAGGGCCCGUCUCCCGCCCCUCCGCCCCGACCUCGAUUCCUCCUUUCCGCCGGCCCGAAGUCAAAGGCGGUCGCCGGCGCCGUGCAUUCCGACGCGCGGCAAUAUGGUGCAAUGCACUCAACAGCCUUCGCCGCCUUUACUAAGAUUUUGCAAACUUCAGGCAGCCGUGCGGGCAGCGACGUUGUGCACUCCUGCGUCCCCUCCAGACGGUGAACUUGAACGAGCCCCUCCGCGUCUCUGGGCCUCUGCCCGCCGCUCGGGCGCGCACCGGCCAGGCGCACACUUGAUAGGCGGCUUCCCCUCCCCGCCCCCGGAGCGGAGCGCUGCCCACGUCUUCCCGGGUGACCAGGGGGUGCGGCCCGUCCUCACAGUGCAGCGGCUUCCUCUGCGAGCGGGAGGUAGCCUCCGGCCCGCCCUCCCCACCGUCUUCCCCACCAGCUCCGCCGCGGAGCCAAGCCAGCGUGGGAAAUGGGCCCGACGUGCGCUGCAUGGAGAGCAGCGCGGCCAGACAGCCGGGACCGUGCAGCCUCCCGGCUUUGCGCCCUCCCCCGCCUCCGACCUUUCCGCAGGAGCAGCCAAGUGGCGGCGCGGUUCUUGGCCCUCUCCUGCUGCAGACUGCAGUUAA
RNAcentral lists this long non-coding RNA (1730 nucleotides) under Oryctolagus cuniculus (rabbit). RNAcentral's name for it is "lncRNA (ENSOCUG00000031649.1)". The record is from RNAcentral. Lineage: Eukaryota; Metazoa; Chordata; Mammalia; Lagomorpha; Leporidae.